CAGGUAGCCGUACCGGAAGGUGCGGCUGGAUCACCUCCUUUCUAAGGAGCAUGUACCAGCCCUGCUGUUUACACAGGGAUCAUCUGGUCAAGUCAGUUCCGGAGCGAAUGUCUCUGGCUGGCGCUCAUGGGUGGAACAUUGACAAUGGUCGUUUUGUGACGGCGCAGUGCUUAGUACGAUCUCUUCGGAGGUGUGGAACGGUGUGGCGCACAAGCGAAACGGUAUGCACGCUGUUGGGUCCUGAGGGACCAAGCUUCCACGCUCUUCGGGGUGUGGGGUUUUACCUCUGGGCCAGGAAAGUCCUGCAUGUAUCGCAGGGUGAUUCUGGUGCCGCCCGUAUUUUGAGAACUACACAGUGGACGCGAGCAUCUUAGUCGCAAAUCAAGAGCCGGCCCUUUAGGGGGUUGGUGACCUAGGUUUGUGAUACUAAGUGCAAUUUCUUAGACCAACUCAGCCUUCGGGUUGGGUUGGCGAAUGAGAUAACACUGAGCUGCCAGCUUUGGCUGGUGGCAACUUUGUGGUCAAGUUUCUAAGAGCAAACGG
RNAcentral lists this unclassified non-coding RNA (543 nucleotides) under Sphingomonas sp. SLAU-9. RNAcentral's name for it is "partial contains 16S ribosomal RNA, 16S-23S ribosomal RNA intergenic spacer, and 23S ribosomal RNA". Lineage: Bacteria; Pseudomonadati; Pseudomonadota; Alphaproteobacteria; Sphingomonadales; Sphingomonadaceae. The record is from RNAcentral.